GACGAACGCUGGCGGCGUGCUUAACACAUGCAAGUCGAACGGAAAGGCCCUUCGGGGUACUCGAGUGGCGAACGGGUGCGUAACACGUGGGUGAUCUUCCCUUCACUUUGGGAUAAGCCUGGGAAACUGGGUCUAAUACCGAAUAGGACCACGCGCUUCAUGGUGUGUGGUGGAAAGCUUUUGCGGUGUGGGAUGGGCCCGCGGCCUAUCAGCUUGUUGGUGGGGUAAUGGCCUACCAAGGCGACGACGGGUAGCCGGCCUGAGAGGGUGACCGGCCACACUGGGACUGAGAUACGGCCCAGACUCCUACGGGAGGCAGCAGUGGGGAAUAUUGCACAAUGGGCGCAAGCCUGAUGCAGCGACGCCGCGUGAGGGAUGACGGCCUUCGGGUUGUAAACCUCUUUCAAUAGGGACGAAGCGCAAGUGACGGUACCUAUAGAAGAAGCACCGGCUAACUACGUG
RNAcentral lists this ribosomal RNA (462 nucleotides) under uncultured bacterium. Its description in RNAcentral is "partial 16S ribosomal RNA". It matches the Rfam family "Bacterial small subunit ribosomal RNA", at positions 28 to 507 of the family's 1533-position model. The record is from RNAcentral.